This 28-nucleotide small RNA is filed under the name Bombyx mori (domestic silkworm). Its description in RNAcentral is "ovarian small RNA-19605". The record is from RNAcentral. Lineage: Eukaryota; Metazoa; Arthropoda; Insecta; Lepidoptera; Bombycidae.
UAAUAUCAUAGUCGCAAGAUUGACAAAA